This 270-nucleotide long non-coding RNA is filed under the name Oryza sativa Indica Group (long-grained rice). RNAcentral's name for it is "lncRNA OsLaMu_07g0023570". The record is from RNAcentral. Lineage: Eukaryota; Viridiplantae; Streptophyta; Magnoliopsida; Poales; Poaceae.
CGGCGGGCGGCGGCUACCUACUUGGUGGCCAACCGGCGAGGUGCUCCGGAGGACACUCCAUCGGCAGCAACGGCGAGGGUUUCGGAGGACACCCGGCCACAUCGCCACCUUCGUCCAGCUGGGUUUCUCUCCCUCGUGAGCACAGUGAGGAAAUGCGGACACCCAACGCAUUUUUUUGGACUUGGCACUAACAGUGAUGAAGAUAUUGAGAUGGGUGAUGGUGAUAGUGACUCUGAACAAGUUGGUCCUGUAGAUGAGCAUUGCUGUUGA